RNAcentral lists this ribosomal RNA (697 nucleotides) under uncultured Candidatus Saccharibacteria bacterium. RNAcentral's name for it is "bacterial SSU rRNA". It matches the Rfam family "Bacterial small subunit ribosomal RNA", at positions 72 to 804 of the family's 1533-position model. Lineage: Bacteria; Candidatus Saccharimonadota. The record is from RNAcentral.
AGGCCUCUUCGGAGGUACUCGAGCGGCGGACGGCUGUAGUAACGCGUAGGAACGUACCCCAAACUGAGGGAUAAGCACCAGAAAUGGUGUCUAAUACCGCAUGUGCUCUAAGGAGUAAAGCUUCGGCGGUUUGGGAACGGCCUGCGUAUGAUUAGCUUGUUGGUGAGGUAAUGGCUCACCAAGGCGACGAUCAUUAGCUGGUCUGAGAGGAUGAUCAGCCAGACUGGGACUGAGAACGGCCCAGACUCCUACGGGAGGCAGCAGUAGGGAAUUUUCCACAAUGGGCGAAAGCCUGAUGGAGCAACGCCGCGUGCAGGAUGAAUGCCUUCGGGUUGUAAACUGCUUUUAUAUGUGACGAUUAUGACGGUAGCAUAUGAAUAAGGAUCGGCUAACUCCGUGCCAGCAGCCGCGGUCAUACGGAGGAUCCAAGCGUUAUCCGGAAUUACUGGGCGUAAAGAGUUGCGUAGGUGGCAGAGUAAGUAGAUAGUGAAAGCGUGUGGCUCAACCAUACAUCCAUUAUCUAAACUGCUCAGCUAGAGGACGAGAGAGGUAGAUGGAAUUCCCAGUGUAGGAGUGAAAUCCGUAGAUAUUGGGAGGAACACCGAUGGCGUAGGCAGUCUACUGGCUCGUUCCUGACACUAAGGCACGAAAGCGUGGGGAGCAAACGGGAUUAGAUACCCCGGUAGUCCACGCCGUA